Molecule: ribosomal RNA, 2772 nt
Filed under: Cronobacter sakazakii
Lineage: Bacteria; Pseudomonadati; Pseudomonadota; Gammaproteobacteria; Enterobacterales; Enterobacteriaceae
Description: bacterial LSU rRNA
Rfam family: Bacterial large subunit ribosomal RNA
Source: RNAcentral
AGCGUACACGGUGGAUGCCCUGGCAGUCAGAGGCGAUGAAGGACGUGCUAAUCUGCGAAAAGCGCCGGUAAGGUGAUAUGAACCGUUAUAACCGGCGAUGUCCGAAUGGGGAAACCCGGUGCACUUCGGUGCAUCAUCGUUAGCUGAAUACAUAGGCUAACGAGGCGAACCGGGGGAACUGAAACAUCUAAGUACCCCGAGGAAAAGAAAUCAACCGAGAUUCCCCCAGUAGCGGCGAGCGAACGGGGAACAGCCCAGAGCCUGAAUCAGCUUGUGUGUCAGUGGAACGGUCUGGAAAGGCCGGCGAUACAGGGUGACAGCCCCGUACACGAAGGCACACAGGCUGUGAGCUCGAUGAGUAGGGCGGGACACGUGAUAUCCUGUCUGAAGAUGGGGGGACCAUCCUCCAAGGCUAAAUACUCCUGACUGACCGAUAGUGAACCAGUACCGUGAGGGAAAGGCGAAAAGAACCCCGGCGAGGGGAGUGAAACAGAACCUGAAACCGUGUACGUACAAGCAGUGGGAGCCUUCGUAAGAGGGUGACUGCGUACCUUUUGUAUAAUGGGUCAGCGACUUAUAUUCUGUAGCAAGGUUAACCGUAUAGGGGAGCCGAAGGGAAACCGAGUCUUAACCGGGCGUUAAGUUGCAGGGUAUAGACCCGAAACCCGGUGAUCUAGCCAUGGGCAGGUUGAAGGUUGGGUAACACUAACUGGAGGACCGAACCGACUAAUGUUGAAAAAUUAGCGGAUGACCUGUGGCUGGGGGUGAAAGGCCAAUCAAACCGGGAGAUAGCUGGUUCUCCCCGAAAGCUAUUUAGGUAGCGCCUCGUGAACUCAUCUCCGGGGGUAGAGCACUGUUUCGGCUAGGGGGCCAUCCCGGCUUACCAACCCGAUGCAAACUGCGAAUACCGGAGAAUGUUAUCACGGGAGACACACGGCGGGUGCUAACGUCCGUCGUGAAGAGGGAAACAACCCAGACCGCCAGCUAAGGUCCCAAAGUCAUGGUUAAGUGGGAAACGAUGUGGGAAGGCCCAGACAGCCAGGAUGUUGGCUUAGAAGCAGCCAUCAUUUAAAGAAAGCGUAAUAGCUCACUGGUCGAGUCGGCCUGCGCGGAAGAUGUAACGGGGCUAAACCAUGCACCGAAGCUGCGGCAGCGACACUUAUGUGUUGUUGGGUAGGGGAGCGUUCUGUAAGCCUGUGAAGGUGUGCUGUGAGGCAUGCUGGAGGUAUCAGAAGUGCGAAUGCUGACAUAAGUAACGAUAAAGCGGGUGAAAAGCCCGCUCGCCGGAAGACCAAGGGUUCCUGUCCAACGUUAAUCGGGGCAGGGUGAGUCGACCCCUAAGGCGAGGCCGAAAGGCGUAGUCGAUGGGAAACAGGUUAAUAUUCCUGUACUUGGUGUUACUGCGAAGGGGGGACGGAGAAGGCUAUGUCAGCCGGGCGACGGUCGUCCCGGUUUAAGCGUGUAGGCUGACUUUCCAGGCAAAUCCGGAAGGUUAAGGCUGAGGCGUGAUGACGAGGCACCACGGUGCUGAAGUGACAAAUGCCCUGCUUCCAGGAAAAGCCUCUAAGCAUCAGGUAACAUCAAAUCGUACCCCAAACCGACACAGGUGGUCAGGUAGAGAAUACCAAGGCGCUUGAGAGAACUCGGGUGAAGGAACUAGGCAAAAUGGUGCCGUAACUUCGGGAGAAGGCACGCUGACAUGUAGGUGAAGCCCCUGCGGGUGGAGCUGAAGUCAGUCGAAGAUACCAGCUGGCUGCAACUGUUUAUUAAAAACACAGCACUGUGCAAACACGAAAGUGGACGUAUACGGUGUGACGCCUGCCCGGUGCCGGAAGGUUAAUUGAUGGGGUUAUCGCAAGAGAAGCUCCUGAUCGAAGCCCCGGUAAACGGCGGCCGUAACUAUAACGGUCCUAAGGUAGCGAAAUUCCUUGUCGGGUAAGUUCCGACCUGCACGAAUGGCGUAAUGAUGGCCAGGCUGUCUCCACCCGAGACUCAGUGAAAUUGAACUCGCUGUGAAGAUGCAGUGUACCCGCGGCAAGACGGAAAGACCCCGUGAACCUUUACUACAGCUUGACACUGAACAUUGAGCCUUGAUGUGUAGGAUAGGUGGGAGGCUUUGAAGCGUGGACGCCAGUCUGCGUGGAGCCAACCUUGAAAUACCACCCUUUAAUGUUUGAUGUUCUAACCUGGCGCCGUGAUCCGGCGUGGGGACAGUGUCUGGUGGGUAGUUUGACUGGGGCGGUCUCCUCCCAAAGUGUAACGGAGGAGCACGAAGGUCAGCUAAUCCUGGUCGGACAUCAGGAGGUUAGUGCAAUGGCAUAAGCUGGCUUGACUGCGAGAGUGACGGCUCGAGCAGGUGCGAAAGCAGGUCAUAGUGAUCCGGUGGUUCUGUAUGGAAGGGCCAUCGCUCAACGGAUAAAAGGUACUCCGGGGAUAACAGGCUGAUACCGCCCAAGAGUUCAUAUCGACGGCGGUGUUUGGCACCUCGAUGUCGGCUCAUCACAUCCUGGGGCUGAAGUAGGUCCCAAGGGUAUGGCUGUUCGCCAUUUAAAGUGGUACGCGAGCUGGGUUUAGAACGUCGUGAGACAGUUCGGUCCCUAUCUGCCGUGGGCGCUGGAGAAUUGAGGGGGGCUGCUCCCAGUACGAGAGGACCGGAGUGGACGCAUCACUGGUGUUCGGGUUGUCAUGCCAAUGGCACUGCCCGGUAGCUAAAUGCGGAAGAGAUAAGUGCUGAAAGCAUCUAAGCACGAAACUUGCCCCGAGAUGAGUUCU